UAGCCGGCCUGAGAGGGCGACCGGCCACACUGGGACUGAGACACGGCCCAGACUCCUACGGGAGGCAGCAGUGGGGAAUAUUGCACAAUGGGCGAAAGCCUGAUGCAGCGACGCCGCGUGAGGGAUGACGGCCUUCGGGUUGUAAACCUCUUUCAGCUGGGAAGAAGCGAAAGUGACGGUACCGCAGAAGAGCCCGAGUCCC
This 202-nucleotide ribosomal RNA is filed under the name uncultured bacterium. RNAcentral's name for it is "partial 16S ribosomal RNA". It matches the Rfam family "Bacterial small subunit ribosomal RNA", at positions 284 to 499 of the family's 1533-position model. The record is from RNAcentral.